This 1886-nucleotide long non-coding RNA is filed under the name Olea europaea subsp. europaea. The record is from RNAcentral. Lineage: Eukaryota; Viridiplantae; Streptophyta; Magnoliopsida; Lamiales; Oleaceae.
CCGAGCCCAAAGCAAAAGAAAAUUAAAACCUACUGGCCUAAAAGCCGACAACAAACCCAUAUUUUGUAAGGCUAACCCUUUCCCAUUCCUUCAAUUCACCCAACCGACGAUUCCAAUCACAUAGUUUGAAGGAAGAACGGAUUGAAGAAGCAAAAAAAAUUUGUUUUUUUCUUGUAGGAAGAACGGAGUUGUAAGAAGAAUCCCAAAGACUCUGAAAAUGGGCUUGUCCUUUCGUCUACUGAGGAAGACUUUUCACUUUCUGGAAAAACUACUUUGAUGAUCAAGAAUAUUCCUAAUCAGUUAAGGUACAGUAUAUAUUUUCUUAAUUUUAUGAACUUUGCUAUGUGUUUGGAUUAUUUAUUUAUUUAUUUAUUAAUUUUUUUGCACAAAUAAAGCACUAUUCAAGUGUUUGAUAAUUUGUGUAAUUCGUGUAAUUUCUGUGAUUAGUGUUUCGGUGAUAAUUUGUGUAAAAUAUAUAAUUUGUGUUGAUAAUUUCUGUGAUUAGUGUUUGAUGAUAUUUGUGGGCAUUUUUAUCAAUUCGAUCCAUUACUCUUUACCUUUAUCAAUUUAAUAUAGACCGAUUUUUCCAAUAUUAAGUUUAUACUGCAAUGUAAAUACAUUUUUUGAUACAACAUAAAUAUUCUAGUAUUGAAUUUGCAACAACUUCAUUAACACUGUCAUUCAUGGAGGAAUUGGAAGAAAAAUUGGUUGGUGAAUAUAGCCAGGUUUUGUGAGGACUUUUUGGCUGUGGGGUUGUUGGGAUAAGGGGUGGGUAUAAUCUGGGGCUCAUUGGAGGAUUUCAUGGACUAAGGGUGAAGGUCAUGGACUUCACCUCCAUGCUUUUGUAUCUGUACGAGUUUUAUUGUAAAUCAUAAUGGAAAAUCACAUUUCAUCUGUGGGUUCGGUAGACCUUUAAAGUGGAGAAGAUUUAGUUUUCCAGAUUCUUCGUUCAAUACUUGGUCAAACCCAAUACUGUUUUAGAUAAUCAAUUAACUCCUAACAAAAUUUAGACAAUAAGAAAGACCUUAAAUUCUUGAACAAAAGAGACAAAACUGCUCAUAUUAAAUUCAGUACGAUGGAUGAUAUUUCACUAGAAUGUUAAUGAUUUCAACAUUUAUUUCUUUGAUCAGGUUUGUGUUGUAAAUCUCUAGAUACACGAGGGCGCAAAGAAGUUCUCGUAUCAAACUGGAGUAAAGGUUGUAGUUGCCUAUGGUGGGGCUUCAAUUUACUGGCAGGUUUUGGUUUUUUACAACUGAAACUGAAAUUAUUAUGUUGUUUUGACAUUGGCUAUUAAUUUAUCUUGACAUCAUUUGGCUAAAUUCUAAUCAAUGUAUUUGUUGAUUGUAAUGUUAGAAUGGUUUAAGUAGAUUGUUAGAUUGUAAGGUGACAUGAUGGCUCCAUUGGCUUCUUGUUGAGGUAGAUGCCAUGUAUCAAUGAUUUUUAUAUUUCUUGUAAUGAUAAUUUGUCAUUCUAAGAUACUAUAAGUAACUUCUUUUUUUUUCUUUUUUUCUUUAUUAUUAUUAUUAUUUUUUUUUUGAUGACAAUUUCAGUUUUUGUGGCUAAAUAGUGAGGAUAGUAAUAUCAUUAUCUUUGGAAUGGAGUUUCCGUCCUUGCCUAUUUGAUUGUCUUCUAUAAUGGAAGUUUUUGUCUCUGGUUUCUUGAGUGCCUUAAGUAAGUGAGCACAUGUUUAAUUUGUAAGCCAAAAUGCAUUUUCGUUAUAUGCAGUUUUCGUCUUUCUCUGUUGGUAAAAUUAACUGAUCAUUGCUUGGGAAGGAUGUGGUUUAAGGAAAUCUAUGAUUAUCAUUAUAUUAUGUCUUUUUCUUAGCGAUGUUCAACUCAUGUCAAGAAGCAAGUAUAUCGUUCCUGUUUUAGUGAAGUUGUGUGUA